RNAcentral lists this ribosomal RNA (480 nucleotides) under uncultured bacterium. Its description in RNAcentral is "partial 16S ribosomal RNA". It matches the Rfam family "Bacterial small subunit ribosomal RNA", at positions 28 to 507 of the family's 1533-position model. The record is from RNAcentral.
GACGAACGCUGGCGGCGUGCUUAACACAUGCAAGUCGAACGAUGAAGAAAAGAAUCGAAGCUUCGGCAGAAAUUCAUUUCGGAUUAGUGGCAGACGGGUGAGUAACGCGUGAGCAACCUACCUCUUACAAAGGGAUAGCCUCGGGAAACCGGGAUUAAUACCAUAUAACAUUGUGACGAAGCAUUUCGAUGCAAUCAAAGCUACGGCGGUAAGAGAUGGGCUCGCGUCCCAUUAACCGGAUGGUGAGGUAACGGCUCACCAUAGUGACGAUGGGUAACCGGGCUGAGAGGGUGAACGGUCACACUGGAACUGAGACACGGUCCAGAAUCCUACGGGAGGCAGCAGUGGGGAAUAUUGCACAAUGGAGGGAACUCUGAUGCAGCGACGCCGCGUGAGUGAUGAAGGAAUUCGUUUCGUAAAACUCUGUUCUAUGGGAAGAAAAGGACUGUACCAUAGGAGAAAGCUCCGGCUAAAUACGUG